This is a long non-coding RNA of Aethalodelphis obliquidens (Pacific white-sided dolphin), 6637 nucleotides long. RefSeq lists it as uncharacterized. NCBI's taxonomy places the organism in Eukaryota, Metazoa, Chordata, Mammalia, Artiodactyla, Delphinidae. The transcript is spliced from 3 exons. The record is from RefSeq and is a predicted model, not a curated record.
AGGAAAUGAAUGAGGCCUUAGAGGCGUCUAUGUUAAAAUAUUACAGACUUCCGAGAGCUUUCAGGAGUUUGCCGCCCCUUAGAAUAGAGGGCAUUGAGGGUGUGUGCGGGCGGAGUGGCCGGGCCAUGCCAGUGUUUGCUGUCAGGCUAAGUGGCUUCCGGGGCUGGGGUGGGACCCUUACUUAGACUCAUUCCAACAUUAGUUGAUUGGCUGGUUGGUUGGUUCAUUCAUUCUUUCAUUCAUUCAGUACGAGCAACAUUUACUGAAGGGCAGGCCCUACACAGGAGCUGGAGAUAGACUAAAGGGAACUCUGCCCUUGCUCCUUUCAGUGAUUCAGCAGAUAAUUGUGCAUCUAUAGGUGCCAGGCGCUGUUCUUGUCGCUGGGGAUGCAGCCCCCUCCGGACUGGGACCUACUGUCCAAUGAAGGGAAAUGGAGGAAACCCAAGUCCCCAAGUAGACUGUGAUACCCGUCUGAGGGAGCAAGUGCUAAGAAGAGUGGGGCAAAGGAAGGGUGGAUGGUAAUGAGGUGAGGGGACCUUGCUUUCUGGAGGGUGACAGCUGUGACCGUACAAUGUGACCAGGAUGAUGAAAGCUUCCAUACUGUAAAUGUGGGAGGGACUCUUAGGGAGAGGGAGUCAGGAAGGCAUCCUGAGGGAGGGAAGGAUGGGGAGAAGGGGAGUGGAGUAGGCAAAUGGCCCCUCCCUAAAGAUGUCCAUGUCCUAGUCUCUGGAACCUGUGAAUAUAUUUCGUUACACAGCAAAGAAUAAUUAAGGUUGCCAAAGGAAUUACAGUUACUAAUCAACUGACUUUAAAAGAGGGAGAUUACCCUGAAUUAUCUGGGUGGGCCCAAUGUAAUCAUGAUGGUCCUUAAAAGUGGAAGAGGGAGACAGGAGAGUCAGAGAAAGAGAUGUGAUGACACAAAUGCUGUGUUGCUGCUUUGGAAGAUGGAGGAAGGGGCCACAGACAAAGGCAUGUGGGUGGCCUCUAGAAGCUGGAAAAGUCAAGGAAACAGAUUCUCCCCCAGAACCUCCAGAAGGAACACGGCCCAGCUGACGGCUUGAUUUUAGACCCAUGUUGGACUUCAAACCAACGGAACCGGAGCAUCAGUCAGGUGGAUUCUGCCAGGACUGGCCUGGUGGCUCAGAGGAAAACUGAGGCCUGGACAGUGGAGGAAUGGGGCCCUGGGCCAAAUUGUCGUAAAUGGAAACCGAAGCUCGGGCCCUGACAGUGAUCUACUUAGACUGCAAGUGGCAAGACAUGCUGGCUCCAGGCCCUCGUCCCCACUCAGUCUUCUCACCCAGCCAUUGUCACCCCCCACCCCGCCUUCCUUCCCACACACAGCCAGGUAGGGGGACAGCUAGGUGCCAGGCCCUGAGCACUGCUUCUGAGCCACAGACCCAGGUUCUGAGCUGGCUGUGCUGCUGACUUGCUCUGUGGCCACAGACGAAGAAAGGACAGUCCCUUUCUGAGCCUUCUUGCCUGUAAAAUGGGAGUUACAUGAGUCCCAAGCAAGAGAAGGGACUUGCGAGUGUAUUGUUGAUGGGACCACACAGUCCCCGCAGGCAGGAGUUUCAUGGAAACAUUAUAACAGGAGCUUUGGGGGGUGGUGACUGGCCUUGUCACCUGACCUGGAAUGAGUCUAAUGAUGCCUAGAUGACUCUAAUGAUGACCCCCCUGAGCCUGCGGCGCAGCCCCGCCCAUCAGCUGAGCGUCCUCCAUUGGAGGAAGGGGGUCGGGGAAGGUCAGGAGCUCCAUUCAGGGCUGGUGGCAAAACAAAGUUACAGAGAUGAAAGCUUGCAGAGGCAAAGACCCUCAUCCAAGGUCACUCAAAGCCAGGAACGAACUCCAGAGCCCUUUGGAGAGGUUCUGGUGUAUGUGUGUGUGUGUGUGUGUGUGUGUGUGUGUGUGUGUGUGUGUGCAGUUGGGGAGCCUUGGGGGAUGGAUAGAGAGCAGCAGAUUUGGCCCCCGAGCCUGACCCAACCCCCGGACCCCUCCCUCAGCGACUAGCCAUCCUCCCAACCAGGACCCAAAGCCACAGGAACUGCGCUCUGGGGACUGUUUUAAUCCCACCUGGCUGUGACGUGGCUCUGCCCAGUGCCGGCUCCCUGUGCUGCUCUCCUGCCAUCAGCCAGAGAUACGACCCCCACAAAGCCCACAUCCAAGGCCCGCUUUGUGCCGAGCACUGGGUUCUGUGCUUUGCAAGCACUCAGGUAGGUGGUUCAUUCUCCCCAUUCACAGAUGCGGUCAUGUCACUUGGCUGGGGCCUGAGGAAUCCCUGGGGAUGGGGCUGCUGGCAGCUCUCAGCUCUGCUGAAUGGACGAGAUCUUUGCAGAUACGCCCAGUGUUGCCAUGGCAGCCCUGCAAUUAAUGAGCAUUUAUAAAACAGGAUUUCAUUGACUAAAACUGGCUUUUUUAUGCAACUUCUCAGGCAGUGUGUAAAGGCCCAAGUAUGGGUGGUGAGGCCGGGAUCCUGAGCCACGGGAGGGCCAGGGUGUCCUGUAUUUCUGACCCCGUAGACACUCAGGCCAAGUGCCCCCUGCCCAGCCUGACUGAGGGUCUGCUGCCUCAGCUAGGGCCUGGACUAUUCUUGCUGGAAGGACUCCUGGACACCCCAGUGUCUGAGGGGGUAGGACCCUGAGGGACAUUCAGGACAGGUUAGAGGCAAGGAAGCCUGUGUGGAGCAAUGCCCCAAGGGGCUUCCCUGGAGGUCCAGUGGUUAAGACUCUGUGCCUGCAAUGCAGGGAGCAUGGGUUCGAUCCCUGAUCCGGGAACUAAGAUCCCACAUGCUGUGCGGCACGGCCAAAAAAUCCCCCCAAAAAAUGUGGUAUUCAAAUUCCUUCUUCUCAGCCUGGAGCCUCGCCUUGAUCCUGAGAUAAGCCCAGUCCCCACCCCUCUGCCCCCCAGUCCCACAGCAACUUCCCGCACCCACAGGACCUGUAAUCACCAUACAGGGACUGACUCAGCCCUUCCUUCCCCGCCCAGUCUCUUCUUCCUGAAAAUCACCCACGUCAGCAGCCCCAGCCCCCAAAGGCCCUGGGGGAUAGAGCCCGAGGCCCCCUUUUCCGAGGUUAGCCUGGAAGAACGGAGGAACUGAGCCGGAGGGGUAGGACUCCCAGGCCGGAGCCAGCUCUCCUCGGCCCCGCCCACCCGGGGACCUAGGGAGGCAGGUGGGAUGAGGGGACCAGGAGUCUGGGGACAGGUCUGAGAGCAGGGAGUCAAAAGGGAAGGGUGGUGAUACUCUUGGGGGCGUCUAGGGGGCAGUGUGAGGAGACAAGGUCUCUGGAAGGGCCUCAGCCCCCGCCACCCCGAUCCCCUGCCACAGGGAGACAGGGAGCAGGGCCAGAGCUCCGUCCACCCCUAGGAAGCCUCCUCCGCACAGCCUGAGCUCAGCCUGCAGGGCUCCGUGGCCUGAGCCAACCCCAGGCCUGGUUUGGAUUUUUCCUUGAUUGUUUCUUGUUUCCUUCCUCCCCUGGGCUCCUGCCAACUCCAGCCCUGCGCUCCUCACUUUUCACUUGCCUUCAUAGAACUCUGACCUGGCAGAGGCUGGGAUUCGAGAUGAGAGUCCCUUCGAAGCUACCGCCAGCUUCUGCCUCUGCCUUGGACCCCUCCUUGGGAGCUGGGUGGCAGGGCCUUACUGGGGGACUUUCCUUUGGGUCCGGAUUUUUGGCCCCAGGCCCAGGGCCAUGGGGGUUUCCGGAGUGGUGACAGCCCUGUCCUAGCAGGGACUGAGGCACUUCCUCCCGGAGGCCUCUGGGAACAUCCAAGCCACAUGGCUGUCUUUUGGCCUGGGGAACACAGAGUUAGCAGGCGUUGUUUUCAACACUUCCCACCCCUUCAAGGCACCCUGUCAUUAUUCAUUUUGAAAACUCAUUUGCAUCUACCUUGUGCCUAGAGCUGUGCUGACUGGAGAAGACACAGAGGGUCAAGGCUGGGCCCAGCCCUCAGAGAACAGAUACCCUGAGUAAAACAGAUAACCAAUUCUAAACAGCACAUUCUGCGCCAUAACGGAGGUCCUUGACAGCAGAGGCCAGUUCUGAUUUACCUCUUUCUAUCCCAGGCAGCAUAGACGAGGCUCAGUGAGCGACUAUGGAUUGAGUGAAGAACCAAAAAGAACAGCAGUAAGAAGGAUUUGUUCUGCUAGAGGUGGGGAAACAGAUGGAAGAGUUAGGAAGGCUUCAAGAGGAGGUGAUAUUUGAGCAGGGUAUUAAUGGAUGAGUAGGAAUUUGCCAGGCAGAGAAAGGAAAGGAUAUUUCAGGGGGAGCAGGGAGAGGCAAAGGCAAAGGCCAGAAGGAGUGCAAGUAGAUGCAUGGUGUGAGCGGGAAACAGGAUAGAUGUGUCCAGCAGACCACGGCAUAGGAGAGGGGAAAGACCAGGAGGGUAGCUGGCGAGCACCAUUAUCCUUGCCCAGCUCCCAUUCCUCUUAUUCUGCUGACCACCCCUCAAUUUUCCAGAGUCUCCAGUAUGAUUGACCUUGCCUCCAAGCUCUAAAAGUGGGUCUGAGGCCCCAGCCUACCCAAUCUGAGUCAUAGGGAUGGUUUAGGGAUGGGCAUGUCAGCAGUGGGCUUCAGCCUGGGAACUUGUGGUGACUAUUAGGGUGACAGAUGCCAAGAUGUCAACUCAGGGCUGUCAACUCACGGAAGAGCUUGUCCAAGAAUAAAGCCAGCACAGAGGAAAGCAGAGCCCAGAGAAUGACUCUCAAUAACAUUGUUCGUGCUUCUGGAUCCAGCCAUGCCUGAAUCAGACAUCCAUUACAUGAAGCAACAACUUACAAUUUUUGUUUAGUCCUGUUGGAAUUGGGUUUCUGUCACUUGCCCAUUAAAGAAUAAUUAAAAGCAGACAAUAGCUCACGAGAGCAGCCGAAUGCUGUGGGAGGGAAGCAAGGAUCUGUGCAGAAGUGCAACAUGACCAGAAUUGCAUUUUUUUAAUUUAAACUAUCUUGUUGACAUGGUAAUGCUUUCGUGUGGUUCACAAUUUAGAAAUCACAGCAGGCUGAAGAGCCCACGUGCCACAUUGAAAGAUCCCGCAUGUCGUGACGAGGAUCCCGCGUGCUGCAACUAAAGACCCGAAGCUGCCAAAUAAAUAAAUAAAUAAAAAUAUAAAAGAAGAAAUCACAAGAGGCAAAACGUCUCCCUCUUACCCCUGUUCCCCAGGUACCAGUUCUCCUCUCCACAAACAACCAGCGUUAUCAGUUUCUUGUAAACACUUCUAGAGAUACUCUUUGCACAUGCAAGCAAAGCCCCGUCCGUUUAUUUUUUACACAAAUGGCAAUAUUUAGACAAGUAGAGCCCCAAAGUACAGCAGACCUUGGUGGGAGCAGGGGGAGGACAGGCCCCACUGCCGGGGGCGAUGGGGGAGAUUCUGCAGGAGCCAUGGGAAGCCACAAUUUAUUGAGCCUCUGCUAUUCACAUUGUCCGGCACCUUCCUUUCUUCAGUUGACAUUAUAUCUAUGACCACUUCAUGUCAGUUCAUAGAGUAUAUCGUCAGUUUCAUUUUCUCACAGCUGCACAGUAUUUCACAUGGGGUGUACCAUAAUUUAUGCAAAUUAUGGCCUCUCCAGCCUCAAGCCCCCUCUCCACUCCCUCUGUUCUGGACAAGGGCCUUUCAGCCCAUCAGCCACCCCCAUGGCCUCAGUUGACGGACGUUUAGGUUGUCCCCAGCCCUUUCCUGUGACAAGCAGUGCUGCCAUCUUGCACAGAUGCUGUUACACACUCGUGUGAGCACAGCUGAAGAAUAAGUUCAUAGGGACUUGGGGGUCACAGGACACUCUCUGUUGUCAUUUGGUCAGCUCUGUCCACUUGUCUUUCUCAGGUGAUGUGCCAGGUCCAGGCCCCCAUAGGGACCACAGGGCCCAUUUCUCCUCAGCCUCACUGGCAACUGGUUCUCAGCCUUUUUGAUUUGUGUCACUCUGGUAGGUAAACACUAACUAAAGACAAAGGAGCCUCAGUGUGGUUUUAAUCUGUGUUUCUCUUGUAAGUGAGUUUGGCCAUUUUUCAUAGGCUUCAGGGCCAUUUCUAUUUCCUUUUCCAUGAACUGGAAAAGGAAUUAGAGAAUUAUGCUUAAGAGGAUCGAUUCAGAGAAGGGGACGUGGAGGGAGGCCUGACUGGAGGCAGGUGCCACUUUGCGGGGGAUGGAUCAGGAGAGAGACGGAACUUGGCUCUGAGCUGUGGUGUGAAAGACGGCGCUGGAGAUGAUGAGGUCGAAAGAUUGGAAUUUGGUGACAGAUGGGCCACAGGGGCCAGGGAGGAAGGACCGGGGUCAGGCCGGUCCAGCGUGGUGACUUGGGUGAUGAGAGGGGCCAGGGAGGAAAGGGAGGACAGUGGGGCCACCAAGGGAGAUGGAGGAUCCCAGCAGGGGCCCUGCCCACUCUCCACCCCACAUCGUGACUGAUGCAAAACACCAACCUGACGGCCACACGCCCCUGCUCACAUGCUUCAGUGGCCACAAACCCUGGUCAGGGACCCUGCUGGCCUCCAGCCUCAAGCCACCUCUCGGCUCCCUCUUCUCUGGCCUUGAGCACACCCAGCCUCCAGGACGGGCUCCUUACACGGCUCCUCCCUUCACCGGCCGCCUCCUGCGAUUCCUGCAGGUCUCAGCCAUGGUAUCUCCCCUCGGGGAAGCAUUCUGGACCCCAAUCGAU